GAGUUUGAUUCUGGCUCAGGAGGAACGCUGGCGGCGUGCCUAACACAUGCAAGUCGAGCGAGAAAUAGUCAGACGGAGAUUUCGGUUGAAGGAUGGUUAUGGAAAGCGGCGGACGGGUGAGUAACGCGUAGGCAACCUGCCUCAUGCAGAGGGAUAGCCUCGGGAAACCGGGAUUAAAACCUCAUAAGGCCAAGGGGACACAUGUUUUCGUGGUCAAAGAUUUAUCGGCAUGAGAUGGGCCUGCGUCUGAUUAGCUGGUUGGUGAGGUAACGGCUCACCAAGGCGACGAUCAGUAGCCGACCUGAGAGGGUAAACGGCCACAUUGGAACUGAGACACGGUCCAAACUCCUACGGGAGGCAGCAGUGGGGAAUAUUGCACAAUGGGCGAAAGCCUGAUGCAGCAACGCCGCGUGAGCGAAGAAGGCCUUUGGGUCGUAAAGCUCUGUCGAUAGGGAAGAAAAAGAUGACGNACCNUCAGAG
This 480-nucleotide ribosomal RNA is filed under the name Peptostreptococcaceae bacterium canine oral taxon 125. Its description in RNAcentral is "bacterial SSU rRNA". It matches the Rfam family "Bacterial small subunit ribosomal RNA", at positions 9 to 471 of the family's 1533-position model. Lineage: Bacteria; Bacillati; Bacillota; Clostridia; Peptostreptococcales; Peptostreptococcaceae. The record is from RNAcentral.